UGGGGAAUUUUGGACAAUGGGCGCAAGCCUGAUCCAGCCAUGCCGCGUGCAGGAUGAAGGCCUUCGGGUUGUAAACUGCUUUUGUACGGAACGAAAAGGUGCCUUCUAAUAAAGGGCGCUCAUGACGGUACCGUAAGAAUAAGCACCGGCUAACUACGUGCCAGCAGCCGCGGUAAUACGUAGGGUGCGAGCGUUAAUCGGAAUUACUGGGCGUAAAGCGUGCGCAGGCGGUUUUGUAAGACAGAGGUGAAAUCCCCGGGCUCAACCUGGGAACUGCCGUUGUGACUGCAAGGCUGGAGUGCGGCAGAGGGGGAUGGAAUUCCGCGUGUAGCAGUGAAAUGCGUAGAUAUGCGGAGGAACACCGAUGGCGAAGGCAAUCCCCUGGGCCUGCACUGACGCUCAUGCACGAAAGCGUGGGGAGCAAACA
RNAcentral lists this ribosomal RNA (427 nucleotides) under uncultured bacterium. RNAcentral describes it as "bacterial SSU rRNA". It matches the Rfam family "Bacterial small subunit ribosomal RNA", at positions 355 to 774 of the family's 1533-position model. The record is from RNAcentral.